UACGGGGGGAGCAAGCGUUGUUCGGAUUUACUGGGCGUAAAGGGCGCGUAGGCGGCACCGCAAGUCGACUGUGAAAUCUCCGGGCUUAACCCGGAAAGGUCAGCCGAUACUGCGGGGCUAGAGUGCAGAAGGGGCAACUGGAAUUCUCGGUGUAGCGGUGAAAUGCGUAGAUAUCGGAAGGAACAUCAGUGGCGAAAGCGGCUUCCUGGACCAGCACCGACGUUCAGGCACGAAAGCGUGGGGAGCAAACAGG
Molecule: ribosomal RNA, 253 nt
Filed under: uncultured bacterium
Lineage: Bacteria
Description: partial 16S ribosomal RNA
Rfam family: Bacterial small subunit ribosomal RNA
Source: RNAcentral